GGAGGGGUGCUAGAGUGGUUUAAUAGACCGGUCUUGAAAACCGGCGUGCGGGCAACCGUACCGUGGGUUCGAAUCCCACCCCCUCCG
Molecule: transfer RNA, 87 nt
Filed under: Rhodomicrobium vannielii ATCC 17100
Lineage: Bacteria; Pseudomonadati; Pseudomonadota; Alphaproteobacteria; Hyphomicrobiales; Hyphomicrobiaceae
Rfam family: tRNA
About the family: Transfer RNA (tRNA) molecules are approximately 80 nucleotides in length. Their secondary structure includes four short double-helical elements and three loops (D, anti-codon, and T loops).
Source: Rfam by way of RNAcentral